Molecule: ribosomal RNA, 1324 nt
Filed under: metagenome
Description: bacterial SSU rRNA
Rfam family: Bacterial small subunit ribosomal RNA
Source: RNAcentral
AGAAUCAACGCUGGCGGCGCGCCUAACACAUGCAAGUCGCACGAGAAAGCCGGGGCAACCUGGUGAGUAAAGUGGCGUACGGGUGAGUAACACGUGGGUUACCUGCCCUCUGGUGGGGAAUAACCCUGGGAAACCGGGGCUAAUACCGCUUAUUCCCUUGCGGGGAAAGCCGAAAGGCGCCGGAGGAGGGGCCGCGGCCGAUUAGCUAGUUGGUAGGGUAAUGGCCUACCAAGGCUGUGAUCGGUAGCCGGCCUGAGAGGGCACACGGCCACACUGGCACUGAAACACGGGCCAGACUCCUACGGGAGGCAGCAGUGGGGAGUCUUGCACAAUGGGGGAAACCCUGAUGCAGCGACGCCGCGUGAGCGAUGAAGCCCUUCGGGGUGUAAAGCUCUUUCGGCAGGAACGAUAAUGACGGUACCUGCAGAAGAAGCUGCGGCUAACUACGUGCCAGCAGCCGCGGUAAUACGUAGGCAGCAAGCGUUGUUCGGAGUUACUGGGCGUAAAGAGUGUGUAGGCGGUUUGCCAAGUCCGGUGUGAAAUCUCCCGGCUUAACUGGGAGGGUGCGCCGGAAACUGGCAGGCUGGAGUGCGGGAGAGGAGAGCGGAAUUCCUGGUGUAGCGGUGAAAUGCGUAGAGAUCAGGAGGAACACCUGCGGUGUAGACGGCUCUCUGGACCGCUACUGACGCUGAGACACGAAAGCGUGGGGAGCAAACAGGAUUAGAUACCCUGGUAGUCCACGCCCUAAACGAUGCACACUUGGUGUGGGCAGUUCAUUCUGUCCGUGCCGUAGUUAACGCGUUAAGUGUGCCGCCUGGGGAGUACGGUCGCAAGGCUGAAACUCAAAGGGAUUGACGGGGGCCCGCACAAGCGGUGGAGCAUGUGGUUCAAUUCGACGCAACGCGAAGAACCUUACCUGGGCUCGAACGGCUCACGACAGCGCCUGGAAACAGGUGCUUCCCGCAAGGGACGGGAGUCGAGGUGCUGCAUGGCUGUCGUCAGCUCGUGUCGUGAGAUGUUGGGUUAAGUCCCGCAACGAGCGCAACCCUUGCCCUGUGUUGCCACUUCGAAAGGAAGCACUCUCAGGGGACCGCCAGCGAUAAGCUGGAGGAAGGUGGGGAUGACGUCAAGUCAGCAUGGCCUUUAUGUCCAGGGCUACACACGUGCUACAAUGGCCGGUACAAAGCGUUCCCAAGCCGCGAGGCGGAGGUAAUCGCAAAAAGCUGGUCUCAGUUCGGAUUGCAGGCUGCAACUCGCCUGCAUGAAGCUGGAAUCGCUAGUAAUGGCACAUCAGAACGGUGCCGUGAAUACGCUCCCGGGCCUC